GGUCAGAACCCAGAGAACAGACACUAACAGUUCUGCAGAUGUUUGUGAGGAGAUGAGCCAGCAGACAUCAGAAGGUCAUGAAGGACUGAAGGAGAGAACAAUUCAAACCAGAUGUUACCUACUGGAAUCUGGUUCCUCUGAUGAUGGGAACCAGCUUUCUGCUUCACAGGACAGUUACUGGGACUGGAUCACUGGAAUGACUCUUCUCUCCAGAAGUCCAGAAGACGGAAUAUCGCAUCAAAAGAAGGAGAGAGCAGAACCUCCAGGAUCCAUCAGUCCAUCUAUGAGGAGUGACCGGUCCAAGGAAACAACCCAAAGUUCAGUGAUGAACCUGGAUCCUCAGACAGAAAAGGACAGAACCACAGAUGGAGAGCAGAACCUCCAGGACCCAUCAGUCCAUCUAUGAGGAGUGACCGGUCCAAACCAGAUCCUCUAAACUUCAGUAAUGAACCUGGAUCAUCAGACAGAAAGAGCAGCUUUAGUGAGGAGGAGCUUCCAUCUUGCUGUGCUUUGGGUCAGAAUGUUCUGAUGGAUCCGGGCUGGACCAGCUGCCCCCAGUGUGGGAAACAACCCAGAACAGGAUCUGGACUGACAGCCAAUCAGAGCAGCUGUGCUCCAGAUAUUGUUGAUCUGUAUCAGCCUGACCUUAAAGCGUCUCUGAAGAUGAUGUUCCAAAGUCUCUCUGAAGGCGUCG
Poeciliopsis prolifica (blackstripe livebearer) is the source of this 694-nucleotide long non-coding RNA. RefSeq lists it as uncharacterized. The record is from RefSeq and is a predicted model, not a curated record. Lineage: Eukaryota; Metazoa; Chordata; Actinopteri; Cyprinodontiformes; Poeciliidae. The transcript is spliced from 5 exons.